This 497-nucleotide ribosomal RNA is filed under the name uncultured bacterium. RNAcentral's name for it is "partial 16S ribosomal RNA". It matches the Rfam family "Bacterial small subunit ribosomal RNA", at positions 28 to 507 of the family's 1533-position model. The record is from RNAcentral.
GAUGAACGCUGGCGGCGUGCCUAAUACAUGCAAGUCGAGCGAACAGACGAGGAGCUUGCUCCUCUGACGUUAGCGGCGGACGGGUGAGUAACACGUGGAUAACCUACCUAUAAGACUGGGAUAAAUUCGGGAAACCGGAGCUAAUACCGGAUAACAUGUUGAACCGCAUGGUUCAACAGUGAAAGACGGUCUUGCUGUCACUUAUAGAUGGAUCCGCGCCGCAUUAGCUAGUUGGUAAGGUAACGGCUUACCAAGGCAACGAUGCGUAGCCGACCUGAGAGGGUGAUCGGCCACACUGGAACUGAGACACGGUCCAGACUCCUACGGGAGGCAGCAGUAGGGAAUCUUCCGCAAUGGGCGAAAGCCUGACGGAGCAACGCCGCGUGAGUGAAGAAGGUCUUCGGAUCGUAAAACUCUGUUAUUAGGGAAGAACAAAUGUGUAAGUAACUAUGCACGUCUUGACGGUACCUAAUCAGAAAGCCACGGCUAACUACGUG